GAUGAACGCUAGCUACAGGCUUAACACAUGCAAGUCAGGGGCAGCAUUACGGUAGCUUGCUACUGUAGAUGGCGACCGGCGCACGGGUGAGUAACGCGUAUCCAACCUGCCCAUGACUUGGGGAUAACCUUGCGAAAGCAAGCCUAAUACCCGAUACGCUUCAUAGACGGCAUCUGAAAUGAAGUAAAGGUUUACGGUUAUGGAUGGGGGAUGCGUCCGAUUAGCUUGUUGGCGGGUAACGGCCCACCAAGGCAUCGAUCGGUAGGGGUUCUGAGAGGAAGGUCCCCCACAUUGGAACUGAGACACGGUCCAAACUCCUACGGGAGGCAGCAGUCGGGAAUAUUGCGCAAUGGAGGAAACUCUGACGCAGUGACGCCGCGUGCAGGAAGAAGGUUUUCGGAUUGUAAACUGCUUUAGACAGGGAAGAAACAAGACAGUACCUGUAGAAUAAGCUCCGGCUAACUACGUG
RNAcentral lists this ribosomal RNA (469 nucleotides) under uncultured bacterium. RNAcentral's name for it is "bacterial SSU rRNA". It matches the Rfam family "Bacterial small subunit ribosomal RNA", at positions 28 to 507 of the family's 1533-position model. The record is from RNAcentral.